UAACCCAUAAGAGUACAGUUGUUUAGAUGCUGAUACUGUAACUAUUAACUAACAAUUAUAAUAGGUAAAGCGACACGAUGUUCAUCCACCAAAUCUUCAGGAACUACCACUUGUCUUAAAGCCUUUUCCCUCUCUCUUACAAUCUAAAAUCAGUUUCGUCUGGGGAGAGGUCUGGCUUCUAGGCCGUCAACCCUCUCCCCCAUCUAUUAUUAUUAUUAUUAUUAUUGUUUUAGUGAGAGCAUGACUCUCUCUGGUGGGGAAGAUUUUCUUUCCUCUUUUGUAUCUGUGAUUAGUUUUGUUUGUGUUUGUUAGUUGUUGGUCUGCAAGUGCUCUGCUUCAGUGUGAGGUUUUGGUGCAGAUCGGAGCAUGUGGUUUGGUUCUGACAUUAGGGAGCUCUCCCCAGUUACGGCAAUGUUUAUGGUUUAGAUUGGCCAUCAUAUGUCGGGGCUAUAGGAGAAUGAGACGCCGUUGCUUCUGCCUUGCAAUUCCCAGUUCUUCUGACAAUGGUCCUAACCCUUUGGUGCAUCUGGCUCCUUCGGCUGGUUCUGCUAGUAGAAGACGUCGCCCCUGAAGGCUUCCGAGAGGUGUUUCGAGUCAAUCCGGUUGUCUUUGGGUCCUUUGUUGUCUGGGCUUGAGGGACUUUUGUAGUUUUUUUGGGU
Long non-coding RNA from Hevea brasiliensis (rubber tree), 659 nucleotides. RefSeq lists it as uncharacterized. The record is from RefSeq and is a predicted model, not a curated record. The transcript is spliced from 2 exons. Lineage: Eukaryota; Viridiplantae; Streptophyta; Magnoliopsida; Malpighiales; Euphorbiaceae.